Molecule: ribosomal RNA, 478 nt
Filed under: uncultured bacterium
Lineage: Bacteria
Description: partial 16S ribosomal RNA
Rfam family: Bacterial small subunit ribosomal RNA
Source: RNAcentral
AUGCACGCUGGCGGCGUGCUUCACCCCUGCCAGUCGCACGAAGUACCUUGAUUUGAUUCUUCGGAUGACGAUCUUGGUGACUGAGUGGCGGACGGGUGAGUAACGCGUGGGUAACCUGCCUCAUACAGGGGGAUAACAGUUAGAAAUGACUGCUAAUACCGCAUAAGACCACAGCACCGCAUGGUGCAGGGGUAAAAACUCCGGUGGUAUGAGAUGGACCCGCGUCUGAUUAGGUAGUUGGUGGGGUAACGGCCUACCAAGCCGACGAUCAGUAGCCGACCUGGGAGGGUGACCGGCCACAUUGGGACUGAGACACGGCCCAAACUCCUACGGGAGGCAGCAGUGGGGAAUAUUGCACAAUGGGGGAAACACUGAGGCAGCGACGCCGCGUGAGCGAUGAAGUAUUUCGGUAUGUAAAGCUCUAUCAGCAGGGAAGAAAAUGACGGUACCUGACUAAGAAGCACCGGCUAAAUACGUG